RNAcentral lists this ribosomal RNA (755 nucleotides) under Triticum aestivum (bread wheat). RNAcentral describes it as "partial small subunit ribosomal RNA". The record is from RNAcentral. Lineage: Eukaryota; Viridiplantae; Streptophyta; Magnoliopsida; Poales; Poaceae.
GGGUAGCAAGGGCGAAAUUCUAACCUGCAACAUGAUCCUUGAUGACGGAGACAGUCACAUGCGACAUGAAAGGCUUAUUUUUGAGAACUCGGAGUUUUGCCCCAUUUAGUGCUUUCUAGUAACAAGGAUGUUCAAAUAUCUGAGAAUAAAGCACAUUCUUUUAGUUGUCCAUACUUGAAUGCCAAAAAAAGAAGGUACAUAAUUGUUUUAACAUUGCCUGAAGCUCAAAACUCUGACUAACGGAACGAUGAAUGCAGGCUGUAUAAGAGAUUAACAAACGGAGACAUCUAAACCGUAACAAUCUUUACAUCACAUUAUUGCAAAACAAACAUAAUAUUUCCGGUUUGGCUCCCACGCGCAAAGUACGACAGUUUACUUUCGGUCGUGCCUCCUUGGCUCUGCGCAUUUCUAUGGGGAGGAACAAGGUUUGUUUGGAUCGUGAGUUUUCGGACACCCGGCUGGGCCGUUCUCCUCCAACUGAGACAGCACGUGUCCACGCCAAUGCGUCGGCAACGGCGGCAUGGCGUCGACUGAACCGCCGGAGGAGGGUUCCCCGGCGUGCACCUGAUCACCUUGCAGCGGCCUCGCAGAGGCCCGGGUCCAUGGGCCGGACGUAGCCACGAGGACCAAGAGCAUGGCCACUGCAAGCUUCGGCGUCAUCGUGGACGUGUCCGAACUUAUAAAGGCCGCAGCGUUGCUUGUCGUAAUUGGGAGCUAUAUAGAUCGAUCUGUCAAACUAGUUAGGCUUUUGAGUG